AGGACGAACGCUGGCGGUGUGCCUCAUACAUGCAAGUCGAACGAGAAGUAGUCUUCGGAUUGUGGAAAGUGGCGGACGGGUGAGUAAUAUGUAGGAAAUCUGCCCUAGAGAGGGGGACAACAGAGGGAAACUUCUGCUAAUACCCCAUAUGAGCUUGGUUGAAAUACCAAUCUUGAAAACUCCGGUGCUCUAGGAUGAGCCUGCAUCUGAUUAGCUAGUUGGUGGUGUAAUGGACCACAAAGGCGACGAUCAGUAGCUGGUUUGAGAGGAUGAUCAGCCACAAUGGGACUGAGACACGGCCCAUACUCCUACGGGAGGCAGCAGUAGGGAAUUUUGCGCAAUGGGGGAAACCCUGAACCGCAGCAACACCGCGUGAAUGUUAAGCCCUUCGGGGUAUAAAGUUCUGUCAAUGGGGAAGAAUAAAUGACUGUACCCAUAAAGGAAGCACCGGCUAACUCCGUGCCAGCAGCUGC
This 473-nucleotide ribosomal RNA is filed under the name uncultured bacterium. RNAcentral's name for it is "bacterial SSU rRNA". It matches the Rfam family "Bacterial small subunit ribosomal RNA", at positions 26 to 518 of the family's 1533-position model. The record is from RNAcentral.